Molecule: ribosomal RNA, 446 nt
Filed under: uncultured bacterium
Lineage: Bacteria
Description: partial 16S ribosomal RNA
Rfam family: Bacterial small subunit ribosomal RNA
Source: RNAcentral
CCUACGGGUGGCAGCAGUCGAGAAUCAUUCACAAUGGGGGAAACCCUGAUGGUGCGACGCCGCGUGGGGGAAUGAAGGUCUUCGGAUUGUAAACCCCUGUCAUGUGGGAGCAAAUUAAAAAGAUAGUACCACAAGAGGAAGAGACGGCUAACUCUGUGCCAGCAGCCGCGGUAAUACAGAGGGCUCAAGCGUUGUUCGGAAUCACGGGGCGGAAAGCGUGCGGAGGCUGUUUCGUAAGUCGUGUGUGAAAGGCGCGGGCUCAACCCGCGGACGGCACAUGAUACUGCGAGACUAGAGUACUGGAGGCGGCACCUGCAUUCUCGGUGUAGCAGUGAAAUGCGUAGAUAUCGAGAGGAACACUCGUGGCGAAGGCGGGUUCCUGGACAUUACCUGACGCUGCGGCACGACGGCCAGGGGAGCGAACGGGAUUAGAUACCCCAGUAGUC